UACGUAGGGUGCAAGCGUUGUCCGGAAUUAUUGGGCGUAAAGAGCUCGUAGGUGGCCUGUCGCGUCGGCUGUGAAAACUCGGGGCUCAACUCCGAGCUUGCAGUCGAUACGGGCAGGCUAGAGUGCGGCAGGGGAGACUGGAAUUCCUGGUGUAGCGGUGAAAUGCGCAGAUAUCAGGAGGAACACCGGUGGCGAAGGCGGGUCUCUGGGCCGAUACUGACACUGAGGAGCGAAAGCGUGGGGAGCGAACAGGAUUAGAUACCCUGGUAGUCC
RNAcentral lists this ribosomal RNA (273 nucleotides) under uncultured bacterium. RNAcentral describes it as "partial 16S ribosomal RNA". It matches the Rfam family "Bacterial small subunit ribosomal RNA", at positions 524 to 796 of the family's 1533-position model. The record is from RNAcentral.